RNAcentral lists this ribosomal RNA (508 nucleotides) under uncultured bacterium. RNAcentral describes it as "bacterial SSU rRNA". It matches the Rfam family "Bacterial small subunit ribosomal RNA", at positions 28 to 528 of the family's 1533-position model. The record is from RNAcentral.
GAUGAACGCUAGCGACAGGCCUAACACAUGCAAGUCGAGGGGCAGCACAUGCGUAGCAAUACAAUGGUGGCGACCGGCGCACGGAUGAGUAACACGUAUGCAACCUACCUGUAAGUGGGGAAUAACCCGGAGAAAUCCGGACUAAUACCGCAUAAUACUUUUGAACUGCAUGGUUUAAAAGUUAAACAUUUAUGGCUUACAGAUGGGCAUGCGUAUGAUUAGUUAGUUGGUGAGGUAACGGCUCACCAAGACAUCGAUCAUUAGGGGUUCUGAGAGGAAGGUCCCCCACACUGGUACUGAGACACGGACCAGACUCCUACGGGAGGCAGCAGUGAGGAAUAUUGGUCAAUGGGCGAGAGCCUGAACCAGCCAAGUCGCGUGAAGGAAGACGGUUCUAUGGAUUGUAAACUUCUUUUGUAAGGGAAUAAAAAAGAGUACGUGUACUUUCUUGUAUGUACUUUACGAAUAAGGAUCGGCUAACUCCGUGCCAGCAGCCGCGGUAAAGUAG